AGCUCCAAUAGCGUAUACUAAUGUUGUUGCAGUUAAAAAGCUCGUAGUCGGAUUUCAGUUUUGAUAAAAUCUUCAUUAUUGAUAGAUUUUAAAUCAUAACUUCUUUGACAGAAACUUUCAUCUUAUUAAAUUAAGAUGUUUGGGGGCCUGUCUCUUUUACUUUGAGAAAAUUAGAGUGUUCAAAGCAGGUUUUUGCCUGAAUAUUACUCUUGGAAUAAUAAUAUAGGACUUUGGUUCUUUUUUGUUGGUGAUUUGGAACCGAAGUAAUGAUUGAUAGGGACAGUUGGGGUCAUUCGUACUGCAAAGCGAGUGGUGAAAUACUUGGACCUUUGUAUGACGAACUACUGCGAAAGCAUUUGACUAGGAUGUUCCCG
RNAcentral lists this ribosomal RNA (374 nucleotides) under uncultured eukaryote. RNAcentral's name for it is "SSU rRNA". It matches the Rfam family "Eukaryotic small subunit ribosomal RNA", at positions 587 to 972 of the family's 1831-position model. The record is from RNAcentral.